NNNNNNNNNNNNNNNNNNNNNNNNNNNNNNNNNNNNNNNNNNNNNNNNNNNNNNNNNNNNNNNNNNNNNNNNNNNNNNNNNNNNNNNNNNNNUUUUUUUUUUUUUUUUUUUUUUUUUUUUUUUUUUUUUUUUUUUCAUUCCAUUUUGUUAUAUUGAACUCUCUAUGUUUUUUAAUUGUAUUAUACUUUAUAUUCGCCUGAAUUUUUGUUUUGUUAUUUUUAAUUUAAAAAAAAAAAAAAAAAAAAAGCAACUAAAUUUAUGAAUUAUAAAUAUAAAUGCUAAGUAAUAAAAAUAUAUAUAUAUAUAUAUAUAUAUAUAUACAUACAUACAUAUAUACAUGUAUAUAUGCAAAUAAAUUUGUUUUAUUUAUUUUUAAUUCCAACAUUUAAAAAUUUUGUUUAUAAUUGUCAUAUCAUUUGAAUUUAAUUUUUUUUUUUUUUUUUUUUUUUUCAAUUUUGAGUUAAAUUUUUGUUUUUUUUUGAGAAAAAUAUAUAUAUAUAUGUAUAUAUACAAAUUUGAGUAUAAAAGUGCUUAGCUUAAAAAGAUAUAAUUUUUGUUUUUACGAAUGUUAUGAGUAACAAAUGGAAGAAAUUGAGUUAUAUAUUACUAAGAAUGAAAUAAUUACUAUAGGUGAUAAGUUAAUUGAUAGCGAAGACAUUUUUCAGUUAAGUAAUAAGAUUAAGAAUACGAAGGUAUAUCAAUGUAUAGAUACGAUUUUGGAAUGUAUUUUUCAUAUGCCAGUUAAGAUUGGAAUAUAUGCAACUAUAUUAGGAAUAAUAACAAAAAAUAAUGAAAAGUUAAAAACUCAAUUAAUUUCUAAAUUAAAUCAUAAUAUAGAAGUUUUUGUGAAAAAGAAUUUUUUACAAUGUUUAUUAUGGUGUAGAUGUAUAAUAGGGUUAGGUUGUUGUGGUGUUUAUGAUUUUGAUUAUUGUUUAGAUUUUUUAAAAAAAUUAUUAGAAUUGAGUAUAGAAACAUACAAUGAAAAUCAAUUUGUAAAAGCUGAUAAUAUAUUAUAUAUACUUUUAAGUAAUUUUUUUUAUAUUUCUAAACAGAAAUAUGAUAGUAAUAAAAAUGAGUUAGAUUUAUUAUUAAAUAGCAGUUUUGAGUUAAUAGAAAAAAGGCAACGUUGUAUUGAUAAUAUAGACUUAGAAAGUGAUGAUAUAAGUAUAAUUGAAUAUAUUUAUAUUUAUAUUAAUGGUGUUAUUCAUAGUAAUAAUUUUUAUGAUAGAUUAUUUUAUUUGAAAGAUGCAUUAAAAUGUUACUUAGAUAAUAAUUUAAAAAGUGUUGCCACGCAUAGAUUUUAUCAAAAAGAAAUAUUUCAAAAUAUAUUUUUAAAAAAACAAAAAGAGGAUAUAAACGAUAGUAAAAGUUAUGAAAAAGAUGAUGAUAAAAAAAAUAUUUUAAUAAACAAUACAAAUGGUAUAAAUAAUGAAAAAAAUGAUAAUGACGAUGAUGAAAUUUUGUUAGAUGAUAUACAUGACGUUAUAGAAGAAAUUGGUGGUAGUGUUGAAAAAAAAAAGGAAAAUAUAACAGAAGAUAGUUUAAAAGGAAUUCCAAAAAAAGAAUUAGCGGUAAUGGAUUGUAUUAAAGAAUGUUUAAAUGUUAAACAUUUUUUAAAAUAUGAUUGUGAAGAGUUUAUAAGCAGUUUACAAAUAAUAUUUCAUACAAAGUAUGCUAAUAGUAACAAUAUACACGAUAUAUGGUUAAUACAAGAACAUAUUUUACACAUAAUUGAGUUAUAUAAAGAUAGUUCAGAGUUUUGUUCUAAAGUUUUAGGUGUAUAUGUUCAAUUACAAAGUAAAAUGUAUAAUAAUGUUUUAAUUGAAGUUAUAAUUAAUAAAUUAUUGGCAUCUUUUAAUGAUAGUAAUUAUUAUUUUUAUAUUUCGUUAAUUCAUAGACUUUUAUUAAUUAAUAAAAACUUAGGAAGUGUAGUUAUAAGAUGUGUUAAAUUUAUUAUAAAUAAAAAUCUUGAUUUAUUAGAUAAUGAAUCUUUUUAUUUGUUUAUGGAGUUGUGUUUAUAUUUGUUAUCUCAUUUUUUAUUUGAAAAUAAGUUAGCAAGAAAUAAAGAAAUUUUUUUUAAACGAAAAUAUAAUGAUAUGAAUAAAAUUUUGCAAGUAAAGAACGAUAACGUGAAUCAAUCAAAUCAGUCGAACAUAAACAUAGAACAGAAUAAAGAGUUUGGAAAUACAUUUACUUCGAAUGAUUUAAAAGGUGUUAGUAGCGGUAUUGGUAGCGGUAUUAGUAGCGGUAUUAGUAGCGGUAUUAAUAGCGGUAUUAAUAGCGUUAUUGACAGCGGUAUUAAUAGCGGUAUUGACAACGUUAUGUCAGAAAAUUUGUUACUCGAUAAGCAAAUGGCAGUAAUUAUUGGGGAAAAUGAUAAUAUUAAAAAUGAGAAUUUAGGAAGUGUCAAAAAAAAUGUUAUUUUAACAAAAAAUGAAAGUACUUUGAAUAAAAUGAAAAGUCAUGAGUUAAAAGUACCUUAUUGUUUAGAUAUUGAUAUUAAAUAUAGCUCAGAUGAAGAGGACAUAGAUGAUGAAAAAAAAGAAGAAGAACGAAAAAAAGAAGAAGUAAACUUAGAAUCAAAAAUCAAUCGUAAUACUAAUGAUGGUUAUGGAGAAGACGAAGAUGUUGAUUAUGACGAUGAAGAGGGUGACGAACGAAAUGAUAUAAACCACCACAACAACGAUAGUGAUAAUUUGUAUGAUGAAGAAAACAAUGAAUAUAGUAAUUUUGAUUGUUCCAUUUUUAUAGAAGAAUUACAAAAAAUGAAUAUGACUAAAAACUUAAAAAGGUUUACUAGUUUAAUGUAUAAUGUAAAAAAAAAACAUCAUAGAAAAUGGGUAAAAAAUUUUUAUUUUAAAUCAUUUUCUUUAGUUUAUAAAAACGAUACAAAUGAUUUGAUACCCAAGUCAGUUAUUGAUUAUUGUAAUAGUUUUAUCUGUGUUAAAGACAAAUCGCAUGAACAAUUAUAUGAAUAUAUGAUAUUUCAGAUUAUUUUAAAAUAUACUUUGAAUGAAGUUAAUGAUAUGGAGGAUAAAUAUAUUGAUAUGAGUAAUUCGAAAAAAAAAAACUAUGACAAUUAUAGCAGUAAUAAACGUACUAAUUUUACUAUUGAUACUGUGAAUAAUAAUAAUGUUCUAUACAAUAGUAAUAGUAGUGAUAACAUGAAUAAUGAAAAUGCGAUAAAUGAGUUUAAAACAGUAAUUAAUGAAUUAAUUGAAAAUUUUUUACAAUAUUUAGAUACAAAAAUGUAUUUGAAUAAGAUCCCAAUGUUUUUUAACAAUUUAUCACAAAAUGUUUAUUUAUUAAAGGAAUAUAACAAUAAUAGAAAUAUUAAUAAAUUAAAUGUUUUUUUUUUUGAUAGUUAUAUAUAUCCUAAUGAUUUUUUAAUAAAGUCAGAAAAGUGGGAUAGUCAUAAUAUAUUAAUACUUUUAUUUAAGGCUAUGAUAUUUUUUGGAGAAUCUAAUGUAUCGGACUUGGAGAAAAUAUUUAAAACUCAUGCAGUUAUAUUUCAUAAUUAUAAAAAUUCAAGUUAUAAUAUGCGUUCGGACGAUGCAAAAAAAGAGUUUGACAUAGAUCUAAUCAAAACGGUUUACAAUUACUUUAAUAACUCAAUUUUAUUUAAUGUAAUUGUAAAUAUAUUACUUAAAAAUAAAAUAAUGGAUGAAUU
This is a long non-coding RNA of Piliocolobus tephrosceles (Ugandan red Colobus), 3670 nucleotides long. Lineage: Eukaryota; Metazoa; Chordata; Mammalia; Primates; Cercopithecidae. The record is from Ensembl.